AUAUGCCUUACGCAUGCUAGUGAGACAAGGAGCAGUGUUUCCAAUGGCAAAUGAGUGAGUAACAUGUAAGAACCUAUCCUUAGGAGGGGAACAAUAGUUGAAAACAAAUGUUAAUACCUCAUAGAUUAAGGAACAAAAGGAGAAAUCUGCUCCGAAGGGCCAACGUUUAACUAGCUAGUUAGUGAGAUAAUAACUCACCAAGGUAAUAAUUAGUAGUUAAUCCAAGAAGAUGAUCAUCACAUUGGGAUUGAGGCACAACCCAGACUCCUACAAGAGACAAGAAUGAGAUUUUUUUUGUAAUGGAUAAAAGCUUAAUAGAGUAAUAU
Molecule: non-coding RNA, 326 nt
Organism: Cajanus cajan (pigeon pea)
Lineage: Eukaryota; Viridiplantae; Streptophyta; Magnoliopsida; Fabales; Fabaceae
Source: Rfam